Small nucleolar RNA from Erinaceus europaeus (western European hedgehog), 80 nucleotides. NCBI's taxonomy places the organism in Eukaryota, Metazoa, Chordata, Mammalia, Eulipotyphla, Erinaceidae. The record is from Ensembl.
GGUCAAGGAUGCUCUGCAUGUAUUAUCUGACAUGAAAGCUGAUGUGGAGAACACUGGCUCUGGGAUUACACUGAGACCUU